GCUAAAUCCCCUUAUAAUAAGUAGUACUCCCGAUUAUUUCUCAUAAGCAAAUCGUGAGAUCGGAUCUGAGAGCUACCUCGUUUGUCCGUCCUCACGGCGUCAUGACGGCGCCGUCGAAUCUCUCGAGCACACCGGAGUCACAGGACUUGGUGCAGAUUCAAGAACAAAGCCAUUGAAGUUCAGGAUAGGAUUAUGUUGGAGGACUUGGUGUGAUAGCUGACGUGACCAGAUUCUAGGAUCUUCAGCUAUGUGGUGAGACAGUGGGUACAAUGACAAAUUCAACGCAAGACCAUGCUGGUGGGAGACCACUGACGGGACACUAAGUGCAAGCUUAAGAGGAAAGAUAUGAUUCACAUUACUCCAUUCUGCAAGGAAACAAAAAACUUAACUGGACUGGAAUAUACUUCACGAACACUAGUCUUUGCAUUUGAUUAGGAUGGCACAUUCACUAUGUUAAACGAUUGCUAAAUUAUAUUUCAGUCUCAUUUUAAGGAUAUUUGUGAUGAGAUCUAUGAUAUUUUAUGAAUCUACAUCAUAUACUUAUGGUUUGAAUAAUAUAAUUGAAUGGAUGUACUA
Molecule: long non-coding RNA, 576 nt
Organism: Lolium perenne
Lineage: Eukaryota; Viridiplantae; Streptophyta; Magnoliopsida; Poales; Poaceae
Source: RefSeq, a predicted model, not a curated record